ACCCAUUAGCUUGCGAUGGAUAACGCUUGAAUUUUGUAUAUUCGAUAUUAAAAGAAAAAGAAUGUAAACAUUAGAAGUAAAACAAAGAUAAAUCAUUUGAUUGGCUGAUUCGAUCCACAUGAACUCAUUCUUAUACAUGUAAAAAUGAUAACUAACUUCUUUCUUUAACCUAUAAAAUGAAAUCAAACAGACCUAGACAAAUCUAAUUGUACGAGUUCCCUAUUUUUCUAUAUAAUGUUUAUGUUUAUGCCGUGUAAUGUGACCGUCGUCAGUGUUCGGAUGAUAUCUCAAUGGUUUAUCAGAUGGCCUCUAGACAUAAAUACACACGAAGUUUUUUAAUAAAUAUAUUGUUAACUGUUCAAUUCAGAUUUUGUAGUUUUAAUUUGUGUUUUGGUAUGCUAUAACAUCGAAUAUGAGAAUGUGAGUUUAAAUCGGUUUAAAUCAUUUUGAGAGUUAGUUCAUCUUUAACAAAAUUAAAACGAAUAAAGUUUAUGUCUAGGCUAUACUGAAAACUGAAAUGUUGUUUCGUGAGUCUAUCGAUAAGAUUAUACAAAGAAGAUGUUGCAUGAGUACCAAUGAUACAACUCUUAAACAUAGUCAAAAUGUGUUAAAAGUUAACAAUCGUAGGCAUGGCCUUCAACGCGGAGCCUUGGCUCACACCGACAAUUACCCCAAAAUAAAUAAACGUUUAACGAUUGAAACAGGUUAACCUGCAAUUUUAUACAAAGUGUCACACCUUACUUCUGCCUGAACUCCGUGGUACAUACUAAUAUAUUCUUGUAUCAUUAUUUUAUGAAGUACUUGAAGUUAAAAGUAAAAUAAAAAAAUGCUGAACUCAGAGGAAAAUCACAUCGGAAAGUCCCUAAUCACAUGGCAAAAUCAAAUGACAAAACACAUAACUAGAGGCUCUCAAGAGCCUGUGUCGCUUACCUUGGUCUAUGUGCAUAUUAAACAAUGGACACAGAUAAAUUC
This 972-nucleotide long non-coding RNA is filed under the name Mytilus galloprovincialis (Mediterranean mussel). Lineage: Eukaryota; Metazoa; Mollusca; Bivalvia; Mytilida; Mytilidae. The record is from RNAcentral.